ACACGCCGAAAGGAGGUGGUCCGAACAAUGGUUAAUCAUAGUUGGGCUAGCGAGGUGGCUGUCCGCUAGGGCGCCCCAGCUCCGGACUUCUGUCCGGACGUCUGGCGACGUUCGGCGAAUCCAGGACAACACCGGAACCCCGGGCUGCCGGAAGGCGGGCCAUCCCGCCUUUGGUCCAUCCGGCCCUCCUGCCAAGCAGGAGGAGCAGGCCCGGGGUUCUUCCCUU
RNAcentral lists this small RNA (226 nucleotides) under Streptosporangium subroseum. Its description in RNAcentral is "Actinobacteria sRNA Ms_IGR-5". It matches the Rfam family "Actinobacteria sRNA Ms_IGR-5". Lineage: Bacteria; Bacillati; Actinomycetota; Actinomycetes; Streptosporangiales; Streptosporangiaceae. The record is from Rfam by way of RNAcentral.